This 253-nucleotide ribosomal RNA is filed under the name uncultured prokaryote. Its description in RNAcentral is "partial 16S ribosomal RNA". It matches the Rfam family "Bacterial small subunit ribosomal RNA", at positions 524 to 776 of the family's 1533-position model. The record is from RNAcentral.
UACGUAGGGGGCGAGCGUUGCCCGGAUUUAUUGGGCGUAAAGGGCGCGUAGGCGGCUCUGUGCGUCAUGGGUGAAAUCUCCCGGCUCAACUGGGAGAGGUCCGGUGAUACGACAGAGCUUGAGCGAGGUAGGGGGCAGUGGAAUUCCCGGUGUAGUGGUGGAAUGCGUAGAGAUCGGGAGGAACACCAGUGGCGAAGGCGGCUGCCUGGACCUCGGCUGACGCUAAGGCGCGAAAGCGUGGGGAGCGAUCCGG